Molecule: unclassified non-coding RNA, 323 nt
Filed under: uncultured Madurella
Lineage: Eukaryota; Fungi; Ascomycota
Description: sequence contains ITS1
Rfam family: 5.8S ribosomal RNA (bases 1-105)
Source: RNAcentral
GAAAUGCGAUAAGUAAUGUGAAUUGCAGAAUUCCGUGAAUCAUCGAAUCUUUGAACGCACAUUGCGCCCGCCAGCACUCUGGCGGGCAUGCCUGUUCGAGCGUCAUUUCGACCAUCGAGCCCCCGUGACGGGGCUCGCGUUGGGGAUCUGCGGCCGCGCGCAGGCCCCGAAAACCAGUGGCGGGCUCGCCGUCACCCCGAGCGUAGUAGCAUCCGUUCCUCGCUCCGGGCGUGCCGCGGGUACCGGCCGUUAAAAAGGGGACGCCUUAGCGCGUCACUCUCCAGGUUGACCUCGGAUCAGGUAGGAAUACCCGCUGAACUUAA